Ostrinia furnacalis (Asian corn borer) is the source of this 1296-nucleotide long non-coding RNA. RefSeq lists it as uncharacterized. The transcript has 2 exons. Lineage: Eukaryota; Metazoa; Arthropoda; Insecta; Lepidoptera; Crambidae. The record is from RefSeq and is a predicted model, not a curated record.
CGCCGGAGCUAAAAAUCAAACACAUACACUCGAAAAAAAAAACAAAUAAAGCAACAUAGUUGUUAAUUGCGAGCACACAAUGCAAAUAGGUUAGGAAUGAGCCAAACCACGACGUGUUGUAAAAUAUUCCACUGCACAUUCAGUCGAUAUGAGCACACAAUGCAAAUAGGUUAGGAAUUAACCAAACCAACGAAAACAUUCCACAUUCAUUCGUUAAAACCAUUCAAAAUCCAAGUAGGAGCAACAUGGUGUAAUGGUGUUAGUUAGUUGUCAAAUUGACCAUUAUAAUUAUCUUAACAAUCCACGCAAUUUAAACCAUUAAAAAUAGGUACAUACCAGCAUGCGCCCAUAUUUUCUGAAAAAGAAGAAAAUAUUGUUAUUACAGGUAAUAACUGAUCCAAAUAAUCAUAAGCAGAUACUCGAUAUUUAUUAUUUUUUCGAUUUAAUACAGGUAAAAUACUUACAUUAUGUAAUUUAACCCGAACACCACAAGACUGCAACUUAGUUAAAAGUUCGUUCAUCAAAUUUGAUCAAGUUUCAAAGAUGGAGUGGGUUUUUUUUUAUAUGUACCUAUAGUGUUUUACGGCUCUGGGUGCAAGCUCUUUUAAGCCAGGAGUAUGGUUAUUGCACAGAUAAUAUAAUUUGUUUUUAUUAUUUUCCAGGAACAUAUUAUGUAAAAUUUCAUUUUGUUCUUGAUUAUUACCGAUACCUUUGAAUUAAUUUAAUAUAUCAAGGAUUUUUUCCGCUUGACGUUUCAGUUGUUAGACUGUAACCUUUUAGGAGGGUAAUUAUUUAUAUAUUUCAUGUGAUUACUCGAAGUCAACAGAUUUUUUAUUAUAAAUAAAAUUUAAUUAUAAGAAGAAAAACUAAAUACAUUGGGUUAACUUUAAAAUGAAUCUACCAAUCGUCGGAUAAAACUAGUCUCUGUCUAAUCUAUGGAAGAAACUAUUUCUUAGUACCCAGAGCCGUAAAACAUCGUAUUAAAAAAAAACUAGACCGGGACGUCGACGUGUAGGUAUUGCCAACAUCAUCAAAACUAGACCGGAAACUAUCAAGAAAUGUUUUGUAAAUAGGAAUGGACGACUUGGAGUUAUUUUUAAAUGUAGUACAACAUUAUAAAAACAUGUUAAAUAAUGAUUUAAUGUCCUUAAAUUUGCGACAUCAAUCAAAAUAUUUUAAGUACCUACUUUUAAAAAUAAAAAUUACGGUUUUGAGUAAACGGAAACGCCUCUAAGGCGGCUCGCGUCGUCACAUUGCGUUAAUAUUCCGAUAGAUGGCGUCAGAGUAGAGUGUAGU